Molecule: ribosomal RNA, 488 nt
Filed under: uncultured bacterium
Lineage: Bacteria
Description: partial 16S ribosomal RNA
Rfam family: Bacterial small subunit ribosomal RNA
Source: RNAcentral
AUUGAACGCUGGCGGCAGGCCUAACACAUGCAAGUCGAACGGUAGCACAGAGAGCUUGCUCUCGGGUGACGAGUGGCGGACGGGUGAGUAAUGUCUGGGAAACUGCCCGAUGGAGGGGGAUAACUACUGGAAACGGUAGCUAAUACCGCAUAAUGUCGCAAGACCAAAGAGGGGGACCUUCGGGCCUCUUGCCAUCGGAUGUGCCCAGAUGGGAUUAGCUUGUUGGUGAGGUAAUGGCUCACCAAGGCAACGAUCCCUAGCUGGUCUGAGAGGAUGACCAGCCACACUGGAACUGAGACACGGUCCAGACUCCUACGGGAGGCAGCAGUGGGGAAUAUUGCACAAUGGGCGCAAGCCUGAUGCAGCCAUGCCGCGUGUGUGAAGAAGGCCUUCGGGUUGUAAAGCACUUUCAGCGGGGAGGAAGGCGAUACGGUUAAUAACCGUGUUGAUUGACGUUACCCGCAGAAGAAGCACCGGCUAACUCCGUG